Molecule: ribosomal RNA, 460 nt
Filed under: uncultured bacterium
Lineage: Bacteria
Description: partial 16S ribosomal RNA
Rfam family: Bacterial small subunit ribosomal RNA
Source: RNAcentral
CCUACGGGUGGCAGCAGUGAGGAAUAUUGGUCAAUGGACGAGAGUCUGAACCAGCCAAGUAGCGUGAAGGAUGACUGCCCUAUGGGUUGUAAACUUCUUUUAUAUGGGAAUAAAACGUUCCACGUGUGGGAUUUUGUAUGGACCAUAUGGAUAAGGAUCGGCUAACUCCGUGGCAGCAGCAGCGGUAAUACGGAGGGUCCGGGCGUUAUGCGGAUUUAUUGGGCUUAAAGGGAGCGUAGGUGGAUUGUUAAGUCAGUUGUGAAAGCUUGCGGCUCAACCGUAAAAUUGCAGUUGAAACUGGUAGUCUGGAGUACAGUAGAGGUAGGCGGAAUUCUUGGUGUAGGGGUGAAAUCCUUAGAGAUCACGAAGAACACUCAUUGCGAAGGCAGCUUACUAGAAUGUAACUGACACUGAGGCGCGAAAGCGUGGGUAUCAAACAGGAUUAGAUACCCGAGUAGUC